RNAcentral lists this unclassified non-coding RNA (318 nucleotides) under air metagenome. RNAcentral describes it as "partial contains small subunit ribosomal RNA, internal transcribed spacer 1, and 5.8S ribosomal RNA". The stretch from base 1 to 46 matches the Rfam family "Eukaryotic small subunit ribosomal RNA", at positions 1786 to 1831 of the family's 1831-position model. The record is from RNAcentral.
AAGUCGUAACAAGGUUUCCGUAGGUGAACCUGCGGAAGGAUCAUUAUUGAAUAAACUUGAACAGGCUGCUGCUGGCCUCCCCUUGGGGGUGCAUGUGCACGCUUGUCAUCUUUAUCUCUCCUGCUGUGCACAUAUUGUAGACCCUGGGAGUUGGAUUAUUUAAGUAUAGAUUGAGAAUUGCUGUGCUUUCCAAGUCAGCUUUGUCUUGCAUUUCCCAGGUCUAUGUUUGUUUUCACAAUCUCUGUAUAAUGUUGGAAUGUACCUAUAAAAAGUUAUAUAUACUAUAUACAACUUUCAGCAACGGAUCUCUUGGCUCUC